RNAcentral lists this ribosomal RNA (253 nucleotides) under uncultured bacterium. Its description in RNAcentral is "partial 16S ribosomal RNA". It matches the Rfam family "Bacterial small subunit ribosomal RNA", at positions 524 to 776 of the family's 1533-position model. The record is from RNAcentral.
UACGGAGGGUGCGAGCGUUAAUCGAAAUUACUGGGCGUAAAGCGUACGCAGGCGGUUGACUAAGCCAGAUGUGAAAGCCCCGGGCUCAACCUGGGAACGGCAUUUGGAACUGGUCAGCUAGAGUCUUGUAGAGGGAGGUAGAAUUUCCGGUGUAGCGGUGAAAUGCGUAGAGAUCGGAAGGAAUACCAGUGGCGAAGGCGGCCUCCUGGACAGAGACUAACGCUGAGGUACGAAAGCGUGGGGAGCAAACAGG